Molecule: long non-coding RNA, 2103 nt
Filed under: Glycine max (soybean)
Lineage: Eukaryota; Viridiplantae; Streptophyta; Magnoliopsida; Fabales; Fabaceae
Description: long non-coding RNA (GMAX_LNC002391)
Source: RNAcentral
UGACUCAUUAUCUUUUAUAUAAAGAGGUAUAGCACAAUCCACAAUGGUUGAUUGAAGUAUAAGUGACACAAACUGCGUUGAAUUAGUCUUAAUUCAAAUUUAACUAGAUAAUGUUAUUGUUACAAGUGAUAACAAAAAGCAGAAAAAGCUAAAGACAGAAAAGAUAGAAACUAAAAGAAUGAAAGAACUAAACAGCACGAGGGAAGCAAGUUUCCAUCUCAUCCCCUAACAACGGAUUCAGCAUGCCAUGCGGGACUUCAUGAGUGACAGUAAAGUUGGCAUCUUCAUUUGCACCAAGCUUAGCGAUUAAAUCAGCACACUGGUUCCCUUCACGCAGGGUAUGACAAAGCUGAAAAGUCCAAGGAAGAAGGAAAUUCUAUUUCUUAUUUCAGAACAAUAAGCUUAUAAAUAGCUACAACAAUUGAAGAAUUAAAAAAUUGUAGUAACAAAUAACAAACAUGAUAAUUGAUUCAAAUCAACUCUUUUUUUUUUUUUUUAAUUUCAACUUGAGAUUAUCCUUUCUUAUAAAAAAAAGUUAAUAAAAAAUAAUGAAAUAAAGUAAAAAAAAAAAUAGUUUUCUAAGAAAACAUUCCGAAAGACCUUAAAAAUAGCCAUAGAAAAAUAGUAAAAAUAUAACAAAACACAACACACGUAUCCCCCAAAUAUGUCCUUUCUGGCAAUCACGCAUGCUAAGCAGAUACCCAGCAUAAAGUUGAGAGUAAGAGCAAAAAAUAAAACAUAUACCCUGAAGUAAAUAUCGUACGUUAUCUCUUAAGGAAUAUUAAUAUUAUCGGUUUAUCAUGCAUAUAUCGAAUUCAUAAAAUCCGGCACCUUUGAAUAUAUUCAACUUGCAUCCACCUAAGGAAAUAAAGAAAGAAAAUGUUCUAGAGCCUGCCAGGCCUACUUGAUGCCUUGAAUUGAUGGAUACGGACGACUAUGCAUUAUUUAUUUUUUCAAAAGGAAAAAAGAAAUAAAGGAACACUUGCUUAUUUAUAGUCGGAUUAUCAUAAAAUAGAAACCAACAAAUAAUAUAUAUUCAUCGGUAUUAAGAUUAAGAAUAUUUGGGAUGCUACCAAAUCCUGCCAUAUAAUUGGAUCGGAUAUUGCUUCAUUAGAGAUAAGUGUUCAUGGAGUUAAGAAUAUACUAUUUAUAAUUUUGUCGGAAAAAAAUAUAUACUAUUUAAAAUCAAAUCAUUAUAAUUGGCUUCUUCGAAAAUUUUAAAUAUUUACAAUAGCUCGACCAUGCUGAGUUAUAAUAUUUAUAUAGUCAACUAGUUAUAUCUGUAACCAAACUUUGAUCAUUGUUCAUAUAUAUGGCUAUUUAUUCAUUUUCUUUAGCGGCAAGUUAGCCGUCUUUGACCCUUUUGAAGACAAGUGUGUAGUUCCAUAAUUCAAUCUCCAGAAAAGAACCACUCUGGAGUAUGAACAAUGAUACGAAGCCAAGGAAUUAAGAUUUAUAAAGGAGAAGAAAACGAUAUAUGUCAGUGUUUUAUUAGGUAUAUAUAGGGACGCUAAAAAAAACUAGUUUUAAAAAAAUAACUAGCUAGUAAUAUAAAAAUAGGUAUAAAAUUAUAAUCAAUUUUAUAGUUAUAGAUUUUUUAAAUAUUUUUCUAUUUAAUAAUAGUUAUAGUAAUAAAAUUAUAACUAGUUUUAUAGAAAUGAUUAUUUUAAAUUUUUAUUUUUAUUUAUCCAUAACUAUAAUUGAUUUUAGAUAUAACUUAUUAUAUGAUUGAUAAUAUAACUAGUUUCUUCAUAAGUAAUUAUAUAUGCAUAUUUUAAAUAUCAAAUUAUAUUCAUAUUUUGAAAACUAAUUAUAAUUAUAGUUAUAAUAUUUACUUAUAAUCUAAUUACUUGUUAGAUAUAAUUAUAGGUAUAUAAAUACUCAAAUGAUGAGCAUUCCUAUGUAUAUGUCGUUUUCCUUUGCAUAUCAAUGACCGGAUAUAAUCUGAUUAACGAUAAUCACAACUCACCAAGUUGCACAGAUAAAUUAGGCUCUCACCUUUGCAAUUAUAUAUCGAACAAGUUACGAUCCAAGUGGCAUAUAUACUGGCUUGUCUUUGAUUUCAAUGUUAUUUUUAGUUGUUUGUACAAAAGAUGAUUGUUG